This is a long non-coding RNA of Sander lucioperca (pikeperch), 468 nucleotides long. RefSeq lists it as uncharacterized. The record is from RefSeq and is a predicted model, not a curated record. The transcript has 3 exons. NCBI's taxonomy places the organism in Eukaryota, Metazoa, Chordata, Actinopteri, Perciformes, Percidae.
AACUGAAACUCACUGCGGGACAAGAACGGGAGAGUUGGGUUUAGGAAAAGAUGGAGGGUGGGGUUCUAAAAUGAACGUUUCAGUGACAAGCGGGACACAAACCCUGGUCUCCAUCUCCGUGAAAGUCCUGUGUUGUUUGACCCAUCCAACCCCCCAACCUACCUCCCGAUGCGGAAUUUCGGGCUUUCAUACCACUUGCUACCGUUGUCGCUCUUAAUACUAUGUCAUCUUCACGCGCCGCGGAGCUGCUGCUCUGCCCGUGCGUCCCGUACAGACGCUGAGGGGUGCGUAUUGCUUACUGAGAGACACUGACCAAGCGUCCGUAUUUUACGAGUUGGGAGUGAGAACGGGUUGAGAUAACACACUGAGGUAGCUUGCUGUCUACGUUGCAUGGGCUUACAAAUAACUAUCAGAGACAACACAGGUAUCUGUAGAGCGGUAACCACAUAUGUACACAUGUUGUGCAGU